This is a long non-coding RNA of Priapulus caudatus, 260 nucleotides long. RefSeq lists it as uncharacterized. The record is from RefSeq and is a predicted model, not a curated record. Lineage: Eukaryota; Metazoa; Priapulida; Priapulimorpha; Priapulimorphida; Priapulidae. The transcript is spliced from 3 exons.
CAGGUUUUAAGGACAUCGAUGUAGAGACUUCGACAAAGCCACCCAGAAACCCAUUGCCGAUUGUCAUGCUGGCAUUAGAUCAGGCGAUGAUGGAUGAACCGCUUUACAACAACAUCAACUGGUUCCGAGAAUCCAGGAAUUCUCACACCACUGGGGUCAGCGGCCGUACGUAUUGUUUGGCAUGUCCGGAGAAUUCGCUGAACCCGGCGGAGCGUCACUCGCUACACAUCCUCGCUCGCUUCUGCUGCAGUCACUGGACC